Molecule: transfer-messenger RNA, 328 nt
Filed under: Alphaproteobacteria bacterium
Lineage: Bacteria; Pseudomonadati; Pseudomonadota; Alphaproteobacteria
Rfam family: Alphaproteobacteria transfer-messenger RNA
About the family: Bacterial tmRNA, also known as 10Sa RNA or SsrA, is named for its dual tRNA and mRNA-like properties. Its role is to liberate the mRNA from a stalled ribosome. To accomplish this part of the tmRNA is used as a reading frame that ends in a translation stop signal.
Source: RNAcentral
AUCCUUUUAUAUUUACCCUUUCGGGGCUAUAUCUGAGAGGUCGGGAAACCGACUAUGGCGAUAAACGGCGUGUGUAAUAACCGAUGCGGACCCGGGGGCGGUACCCGGCGCCUCCACCAAAAUUCCCGGCCGGGCCAAGGCCAAGGCGGGAAAUUCGGGGGCGAAACAGGAUCGACGCGCGGGUAAAGACACGUUUUUUGCUCGGCAUGGUACCACCGUCAUCGGGCCGUCACUAUAGAUGCCAACGACAACACUCGUGUGGCUCUCGCUGCCUAGUUAGCUAGGUAAGCGCGGUCCGGGGGGCACCGGGCAACAGAAGCCCCCCACU